CGGAGGAUCCAAGCGUUAUCCGGAAUUACUGGGCGUAAAGAGUUGCGUAGGUGGCAUAGUAAGCAGGUAGUGAAAGCGUGCGGCUCAACCGCAUAUCCAUUAUUUGAACUGCUAAGCUAGAGGGCGAGAGAGGUAGCUAGAAUUCCUAGUGUAGGAGUGAAAUCCGUAGAUAUUAGGAGGAAUACCGAUGGCGUAGGCAGGCUACUGGCUCGUCCCUGACACUAAGGCACGAAAGCGUGGGGAGCGACCGGGAUUAGAUACCCCGUUAGUCCACGCCGUAAACGAUGGAUGCUAGCUGUAAGACGUAUCGACCCGUCUUGUAGCGAAGCUAACGCGUUAAGCAUCCCGCCUGUGGAGUACGAGCGCAAGCUUA
RNAcentral lists this ribosomal RNA (373 nucleotides) under uncultured organism. RNAcentral's name for it is "bacterial SSU rRNA". It matches the Rfam family "Bacterial small subunit ribosomal RNA", at positions 526 to 896 of the family's 1533-position model. The record is from RNAcentral.